UUUGAUCAUGGCUCAGAUUGAACGCUGGUGGCAGGCCUAACACAUGCAAGUCGAGCGGCAUCGAGUGAUCGCAGUUUACUGAGUUCAUGUCGGCGAGCGGCGGACGGGUGAGUAAAGUCUGGGAAUCUGGCCGAAGGAGGGGGAUAACUGCUGGAAACGGCAGCUAAUACCGCAUGAAGUCGCGAGACCAAAGUGGGGGACCUUCGGGCCUCACGCCUUCGGAUGAGCCCAGAUGAGAUUAGCUGGUAGGUAAGGUAAAGGCUUACCUAGGCGACGAUCUCUAGCGGGUCUGAGAGGAUAGCCCGCCACACUGGAACUGAGACACGGUCCAGACUCCUACGGGAGGCAGCAGUGGGGAAUAUUGCACAAUGGGCGAAAGCCUGAUGCAGCCAUGCCACGUGUGUGAAGAAGGCCUUCGGGUUGUAAAGCACUUUCAGCGAGGAGGAAGCGAUAAAUGCGAAUACC
Molecule: ribosomal RNA, 465 nt
Filed under: Candidatus Williamhamiltonella defendens
Lineage: Bacteria; Pseudomonadati; Pseudomonadota; Gammaproteobacteria; Enterobacterales; Enterobacteriaceae
Description: bacterial SSU rRNA
Rfam family: Bacterial small subunit ribosomal RNA
Source: RNAcentral